This 332-nucleotide small RNA is filed under the name uncultured bacterium. Its description in RNAcentral is "bacterial SSU rRNA". It matches the Rfam family "Bacterial small subunit ribosomal RNA", at positions 32 to 358 of the family's 1533-position model. The record is from RNAcentral.
AACGCUGGCCGCGUGCUUAACACAUGCAAGUCGUACGAGAACCCGGGAUGGGGUAACUCAGUUAAGUGCGCAACCGGGUGAGUAACACAUGACUAAUCUGCCUUCGUAGUGGGGAAUAUCCUCAUGGAAACCGGGGCUAAGGGCUCAUACCAUCAUUCUGGUGAUAUUUUUGACGAUCAAGCCACGAUGGCCUUGAAGAUGGGGUCGCGGCUGAUUAGCUAUUUCGUGAGGUAACGGCUCACCCACGCCAUGAUCAAUAUCCGGUCUGAGAUGGCACACGAGACAACUGGAACUGAAACACGGUCCAGACUCCUACGGGAGGCAGCAGUGGG